This 483-nucleotide ribosomal RNA is filed under the name uncultured bacterium. Its description in RNAcentral is "bacterial SSU rRNA". It matches the Rfam family "Bacterial small subunit ribosomal RNA", at positions 328 to 803 of the family's 1533-position model. The record is from RNAcentral.
GAAUUCAACUCCUACGGGAGGCAGCAGUGGGGAAUAUUGUACAAUGGGCGAAAGCCUGAUCCAGCCAUGCCGCGUGUGUGAAGAAGGUCUUCGGAUUGUAAAGCACUUUCAGUUGGGAGGAAGGGCAUUAACCUAAUACGUUAGUGUCUUGACGUUACCGACAGAAUAAGCACCGGCUAACUCUGUGCCAGCAGCCGCGGUAAUACAGAGGGUGCAAGCGUUAAUCGGAAUUACUGGGCGUAAAGCGCGCGUAGGUGGUUUGUUAAGUUGAAUGUGAAAUCCCCGGGCUCAACCUGGGAACUGCAUCCAAAACUGGCAAGCUAGAGUAUGGUAGAGGGUAGUGGAAUUUCCUGUGUAGCGGUGAAAUGCGUAGAUAUAGGAAGGAACACCAGUGGCGAAGGCGACUACCUGGACUGAUACUGACACUCAUGCACGAAAGCGUGGGGAGCAAACAGGAUUAGAUACCCUAGUAGUCCAGGCGUU